AAUGGAGUGUAAGGGUAUGUCUACACUACGGGAUUAUUCUGAUUUUACAUAAACCGGUUUUGUAAAACAGAUUGUAUAUAGUCGAGUGCACGUGGUCACAUUAAGCACACUAAUUCGUCAGUGUGCGUCCAUGUACCAAGGCUAGCGUCGAUUUCCGGAGUGUUGCACUGUG
Molecule: non-coding RNA, 172 nt
Organism: Chelonoidis abingdonii (Abingdon island giant tortoise)
Lineage: Eukaryota; Metazoa; Chordata; Testudines; Testudinidae
Source: RefSeq, a predicted model, not a curated record